CCUGGUGCCUAUGGCGCAAUGGAACCACCCCGAACCCAUCCCGAACUCGGUCGUGAAACAUCGCUGCGGCAAAGAUAGUCGGAGGGUUGCCUCCCGCUAAAAUAGCUCGGCGCCAGGC
This 118-nucleotide ribosomal RNA is filed under the name Leptolyngbyaceae cyanobacterium RM1_405_57. RNAcentral also lists the same sequence under 3 other names. Lineage: Bacteria; Bacillati; Cyanobacteriota; Cyanophyceae; Leptolyngbyales; Leptolyngbyaceae. The record is from RNAcentral.